AGGACGAACGCUGGCGGCGUGCUUAACACAUGCAAGUCGAACGGUGAUCCAUGGUGCUUGCAUUGUGGUGAUCAGUGGCGAACGGGUGAGUAACACGUGAGGAACCUGCCCCAGACUCUGGAAUAACCCCGGGAACCGAGCUAAUACCGGAUAUGACACCAGACCGCAUGGUCAUGGUGUGGAAAGUUUUUCGGCUGGGAUGGCCUCGCGGCCUAUCAGCUUGUUGGUGAGGUAGUGGCUCACCAAGGCGACGACGGGUAGCCGGCCUGAGAGGGCGACCGGCCACGACUGGGACUGGAGACACGGCCCAGACUCCUACGGGAGCAGCAGUGGGAAUAUGCACAAUGGGCGAAAGCCUGAUGCAGCGACGCCGCGUGAGGAUGAAGCCUCGAUGUAACCUCUUCAGCAGGAAGAAGCGAAAGUGACGUACUGCAGAAGAAGCACCGCAACUACGUGCAGCAGCG
RNAcentral lists this ribosomal RNA (464 nucleotides) under uncultured soil bacterium. RNAcentral describes it as "bacterial SSU rRNA". It matches the Rfam family "Bacterial small subunit ribosomal RNA", at positions 26 to 519 of the family's 1533-position model. The record is from RNAcentral.